CUGGUUGUCAUGCAUAGGGAUCUCAAGCCAGAAAAUUUCUUGCUUUCUACCGAGGAUGAAAAUGCAAUGUUGAAAGCAACGGAUUUCGGGUUAUCCGUGUUCAUCGAAGGGGACUAGGGGAGCUAUCGAAUGAACUUAGCCGGACUCAACAUCAUCCAUCGAUGAACGAAUAUGAUGGAUCUCAGUUUUGAAUCGUCACACUAAAGAAAUUGGCAUAAUAGCCUUGAUGAAGAUAAAGACUCGGACAUGUCGGUGAAAAUUUACCACUAUCUUGAUACAACUUGCUUGUCCAGCCUCAAGUUUUUUUUUUUAUUAUAAUUAACAGCUUUAACUUGUGUUAGUAUAUGUAAUGCAGUAAUGGCCCUUUUUGGCUUUUGCAGUUGUUGUUUGUUGGCAUAAUAGUGCAUGGAUGCUCUUUUUUAGUUGUCUUAGAUUCAUAAAUUUCAACAUAUUCGAAGUCUUGAUAGCAGCGAAGUAUGAUGUGGUGGUUUGAUUGCUUUCUUAUAU
This is a long non-coding RNA of Helianthus annuus (common sunflower), 507 nucleotides long. RefSeq lists it as uncharacterized. The record is from RefSeq and is a predicted model, not a curated record. The transcript has 3 exons. NCBI's taxonomy places the organism in Eukaryota, Viridiplantae, Streptophyta, Magnoliopsida, Asterales, Asteraceae.